This 542-nucleotide ribosomal RNA is filed under the name uncultured bacterium. Its description in RNAcentral is "partial 16S ribosomal RNA". It matches the Rfam family "Bacterial small subunit ribosomal RNA", at positions 355 to 891 of the family's 1533-position model. The record is from RNAcentral.
UGGGGAAUUUUGGACAAUGGGCGAAAGCCUGAUCCAGCAAUGCCGCGUGUGUGAAGAAGGCCUUCGGGUUGUAAAGCACUUUUGUCCGGAAAGAAAUCCUUGGCUCUAAUACAGUCGGGGGAUGACGGUACCGGAAGAAUAAGCACCGGCUAACUACGUGCCAGCAGCCGCGGUAAUACGUAGGGUGCAAGCGUUAAUCGGAAUUACUGGGCGUAAAGCGUGCGCAGGCGGUUUGCUAAGACCGAUGUGAAAUCCCCGGGCUCAACCUGGGAACUGCAUUGGUGACUGGCAGGCUAGAGUAUGGCAGAGGGGGGUAGAAUUCCACGUGUAGCAGUGAAAUGCGUAGAGAUGUGGAGGAAUACCGAUGGCGAAGGCAGCCCCCUGGGCCAAUACUGACGCUCAUGCACGAAAGCGUGGGGAGCAAACAGGAUUAGAUACCCUGGUAGUCCACGCCCUAAACGAUGUCAACUAGUUGUUGGGGAUUCAUUUCCUAGUAACGUAGCUAACGCGUGAAGUUGACCGCCUGGGGAGUACGGUCGCAA